This 464-nucleotide ribosomal RNA is filed under the name uncultured bacterium. RNAcentral's name for it is "partial 16S ribosomal RNA". It matches the Rfam family "Bacterial small subunit ribosomal RNA", at positions 339 to 795 of the family's 1533-position model. The record is from RNAcentral.
CUACGGGCGGCUCCAGUAGGGAAUCUUCGGCAAUGGACGGAAGUCUGACCGAGCAACGCCGCGUGAGUGAAGAAGGUUUUCGGAUCGUAAAGCUCUGUUGUAAGAGAAGAACGAGUGUGAGAGUGGAAAGUUCACACUGUGACGGUAUCUUACCAGAAAGGGACGGCUAUCUACGUGCCAGCAGCCGCGGUAAUACGUAGGUCCCGAGCGUUGUCCGGAUUUAUUGGGCGUAAAGCGAGCGCAGGCGGUUAGAUAAGUCUGAAGUUAAAGGCUGUGGCUUAACCAUAGUACGCUUUGGAAACUGCUUAACUUGAGUGCAGAAGGGGAGAGUGGAAUUCCAUGUGUAGCGGUGAAAUGCGUAGAUAUAUGGAGGAACACCGGUGGCGAAAGCGGCUCUCUGGUCUGUAACUGACGCUGAGGCUCGAAAGCGUGGGGAGCAAACAGGAUUAGAUACCCCUGUAGUC